GUCUUGUCCAGGAGGGCGCUGGCGGCAAACACCGCUCGGAGGCAAGAGGGGCUACCCCUUGCAACAGGAUCAAGCAUGCAGGAAAAAUAGCCAAUAGGGCGUUGACUUGAUCCAUGUUUCUGGGUGAGGACUCCGGAAGCAUGUCCUGAUUUUUCGGAGACAAACAGGUUGAAGGGAAGUUGGUAGUUGGGUAGGCCCAAGGCAGGUGCAGAAGCAAUAGCUCUUUUCAGAGUGUGGAAACAGAUAAUAGUUUCUUCUGUGAGAUGAAAGGGCUCACUCCUGAGGGCAUCAUAGAGUGGCUGCAUGAGCUUUGAUGCUUCAGGUAUCCAGGACCUGCAGUACGUGAUAAGACCCAG
This is a non-coding RNA of Pelobates cultripes (western spadefoot toad), 356 nucleotides long. Lineage: Eukaryota; Metazoa; Chordata; Amphibia; Anura; Pelobatidae. The record is from the annotation of a GenBank genome assembly.